This 969-nucleotide long non-coding RNA is filed under the name Homo sapiens (human). RNAcentral describes it as "HSALNT0025746". The record is from RNAcentral. Lineage: Eukaryota; Metazoa; Chordata; Mammalia; Primates; Hominidae.
AACAUUUUUGUUUUGAUCAGAUGUACAGUUUCUAUAGAACUGAAAGGAUAGCCUUAAAAUUACUCUUGAACACUUCCCCAUGAGUGAAUCUCCACAUUUACAGUAUUUCUGUUUGUCAUUGGCAGCAGUCUGCGGGAGAGGGAAGGCCAGGCGGCUUCCGGCUGAUGACACCCGACACCUUGCAGCCCAUGGAGGCUGCACUGCCACUGCCUUAUUCAUUAUGGGCUGUUGGCCUUCUCCAUUUGUGUAGGGAAAAAAAUUUGCUUUCUUUACUUGCAUAUCAGCAAUGCUUGGCAUAAAUUUGGCAUUUGAAAACUGCAGAUUUCAUAGACACUGCACACCUGGAGCUCUCCUGUUGGCACAGAUACAGCCUGAGCAUGCUUCUCAGCAAACACCCCCACUCAGUGACAGAACUGUCCUGGGGCCUGCAACUUCUUGCUAUUCCGAUUCUGGGAGUCUGCGAUGGCUGUGGUUGCAAUCUGGGCUGAGACUGGUGGUCAGGCUGCCCGGAGCACCCAGGUGUAACUGCACGGGCACCAGACGUGGAGCUGGGACACCUGGGGACUCCAUGUGCUGGCUGGGGACUCCAUGAUCGAUCUCCCAAGUCAGGCAAACGCUGUUGGCCUCGUGUGCAAUCAAAGGCCACUGUGCUAGGUGGCCACUAAAUUCAACUCUAGUUCGUAUUCUUUACAUUUAGUGUUUUAUCUAGUCUUUUCAUUCAUUAAAUUGAGCUCUGAAAUUAGUCUGAAAAGUGAGAAUUUGUACUAAUUUUCCUUGCUAGUGACUCUUGAACCGUCACCCUCCAUAAUGAUUUUUGCUUUGUAAUAGCCACCCAAAAUAGUACCCCAUGCAUUAUUUUUCUUUUUACCUUUUUGAUAAUAUAUGUUGUUAUGAUUAUUGAUGAUCAAUUAGCAUAUUUAUUAAAAAUUAUUUUAAAAACUAGAAAAUCAUCCCAAAGACGGAAAAAAU